AAACUGUGAAGCUUGAGGCUGGGAGAGGAAAUCGGAAUUCCUGGUGUAGCGGUGAAAUGCGUAGAUAUCAGGAGGAACACCGGUGGCGAAGGCGGAUUUCUGGACCAGUUCUGACACUGAUGAGCGAAAGCCAGGGGAGCAAACAGGAUUAGAUACCCUGGUAGUCCUGGCUGUAAACGAUGGGCACUAGGUGUGGGAGGAUCGACCCCUUCCGUGCCGCAGUUAACGCAUUAAGUGCCCCGCCUGGGGAGUACGACCGCAAGGUUGAAACUCAAAGGAAUUGACGGGGGGGCACAAGCCAGGGGGUGGCGACUGUUUAUCAAAAACACAGGGCUCUGCGAAGCCGCAAGGCUACGUAUAGGGUCUGACUCCUGCCCGGUGCCGGAAGGUUAAAGAGAGGUGUGCAAGCAUCGAACUGAAGCCCCGGUGAACGGCGGCCGUAACAAUAACGGUCCUAAGGUAGCGAAAUUCCUUGUCGGGUAAGUUCCGACCUGCACGAAUGGAGUAACGACUUCCCCGCUGUCUCCAGCAUAGACUCAGUGAAAUUGAAUUCCCCGUGAAGAUGCGGGGUUCCCGCGGUUAGACGGAAAGACCCUGUGAACCUUAACUAUAACUUCGCAGUGGCGUUAUCGGUGGUUUGUGUAGGAUAGGCGGGAGGCUAUGAAGCAUGGGCGCCAGCUCGUGUGGAGCCAACGUUGAAAUACCGCCCUAAUCUUCGGUGACGUCUAACCUCGGUCCGUAAUCCGGAUCAGGGACCCUGCGUGGCGGGUAGUUUGACUGGGGCGGUCGCCUCCCAAAGAGUAACGGAGGCGCGCGAUGGUAGGCUCAGGACGGUCGGAAAUCGUCCGCUGAGUGCAAUGGCAUAAGCCUGCCUGACUGCGAGACUGACAAGUCGAGCAGAGACGAAAGUCGGCCAUAGUGAUCCGGUGAUUCUGUGUGGAAGGGUCAUCGCUCAACGAAUAAAAGGUACUCCGGGGAUAACAGGCUGAUGAUGCCCAAGCGUCCAUAGCGACGGCAUCGUUUGGCACCUCGAUGUCGGCUCAUCACAUCCUGGGGCUGGAGCAGGUCCCAAGGGUAUGGCUGUUCGCCAUUUAAAGUGGUACGUGAGCUGGGUUCAGAACGUCGUGAGACAGUUUGGUCCCUAUCUGCCGUGGGUGUUGGAAACUUGAGAGGAUUUGUCCCUAGUACGAGAGGACCGGGAUGAACAUACCUCUGGUGGACCAGUCGUGACGCCAGUCGCGCAGCUGGGUAGCUAUGUAUGGUCGGGAUAACCGCUGAAAGCAUCUAAGCGGGAAACCCACCUCAAAACCAGGUUUCCCUGAGAGCCGUGAUAGACUAUCACGUCGAUAGGCCGGGUGUGGAAGAUCCGCGAGGGUCGUAGCUUACCGGUACUAAUUGCUCA
This 1402-nucleotide ribosomal RNA is filed under the name metagenome. RNAcentral describes it as "bacterial LSU rRNA". It matches the Rfam family "Bacterial large subunit ribosomal RNA", at positions 1539 to 2911 of the family's 2925-position model. The record is from RNAcentral.